RNAcentral lists this long non-coding RNA (807 nucleotides) under Homo sapiens (human). RNAcentral's name for it is "long intergenic non-protein coding RNA 2501". The record is from RNAcentral. Lineage: Eukaryota; Metazoa; Chordata; Mammalia; Primates; Hominidae.
UGCAGGGCUGGGGCAAAGUGCUCCAGAAGGCUGUGUAUGCUCUGAAUCAGUGGCCGAUAUAUGGUACUGUUUCUCCCAUAGCCAAGAUUCAGGAGUCCAGGAAUCAAGGGGUGGAAAUGGAAGUGGCACGACUCACCAACACCCCUAGAGAUCCACUGGCAAAAUUUUUGCUUCCUGUUCCCAUGACAUUAUAUUUUGCUGGCCUAAAGGUCUUAGUUCCAGAGGGAGAAACACUGCCGCCAGGAGACACAACAACGAUUCCAUUCAAUUAGAAGUUAAGAUUGCCACUUGGACACUUUGGGCUUCUCCUACCUUGAAGUCAACAGGCUAAGAAGAGAGUUACUUGGCUGGGGCGAUUGACCCAGAUUAUCAAGAUGAAAUCAGUCUACUACUCCACAACUGAGUAGAGACGGGGUUUCACCGUGUUAGCCAGGAUGGUCUCAAUCUCCUGACCUCGUGAUCCGCCCUCCUCGGCCUCCCAAAGUACUGGGAUUACAGGAGUGAGUCACCACGCCCGGCCGGAUUAUGGAUUUUUAAGAGGAAAACCACAGAGGAAGCCAAGCCACACUGCUAACUGAUGAGAGACCAGCUUGAAAGAGGGAGGACCUGCCAAUUGCCAUCAGCACAACUCCAGAUAUAUGGGAGUCAGGUGAUCAUAAACCAUCCAUUUUCUGCUGAGUCACAGUAGACUGCAACUCCAUGAAUGAGACAAGGAGGUGUCGGUAAAAACAAAACAAAACAAAACAAAGCAAAAACUGCCUGGUGUAACCACAGAAUCUUAAGAAAUAAUAAAUGAUUUUAAUCCAA